CGGUGAAUACGUUCUCGGACCUUGCACACACCGCCCGUCAAGCCAUGGAAGCCGGGUGUACCUAAAGUCGGUAACCGUAAGGAGCCGCCUAGGGUAAAACUGGUGACUGGGGCU
RNAcentral lists this ribosomal RNA (114 nucleotides) under uncultured bacterium. Its description in RNAcentral is "partial 16S ribosomal RNA". It matches the Rfam family "Bacterial small subunit ribosomal RNA", at positions 1360 to 1482 of the family's 1533-position model. The record is from RNAcentral.